CGGGGCGUGGCGCAGGUUGGUAGCGCGUCCGCUUUGGGAGCGGAAGGUCGCAGGUUCAAAUCCUGUCGCCCCGA
RNAcentral lists this transfer RNA (74 nucleotides) under Rarobacter faecitabidus. It matches the Rfam family "tRNA". Rfam says of the family: Transfer RNA (tRNA) molecules are approximately 80 nucleotides in length. Their secondary structure includes four short double-helical elements and three loops (D, anti-codon, and T loops). Further hydrogen bonds mediate the characteristic L-shaped molecular structure. tRNAs have two regions of fundamental functional importance: the anti-codon, which is responsible for specific mRNA codon recognition, and the 3' end, to which the tRNAs corresponding amino acid is attached (by aminoacyl-tRNA synthetases). tRNAs cope with the degeneracy of the genetic code in two manners: having more than one tRNA (with a specific anti-codon) for a particular amino acid; and 'wobble' base-pairing, i.e. permitting non-standard base-pairing at the 3rd anti-codon position. Lineage: Bacteria; Bacillati; Actinomycetota; Actinomycetes; Micrococcales; Rarobacteraceae. The record is from Rfam by way of RNAcentral.